GGGCCCGUGGUGUAAAUGGGAGCACGUCAACCUGUCCAGUUGGAAGGUGCGGGUUCGAGUCCCGCCGGGUCCA
Molecule: transfer RNA, 73 nt
Filed under: Terriglobia bacterium
Lineage: Bacteria; Pseudomonadati; Acidobacteriota; Terriglobia
Description: tRNA-Asp
Rfam family: tRNA
About the family: Transfer RNA (tRNA) molecules are approximately 80 nucleotides in length. Their secondary structure includes four short double-helical elements and three loops (D, anti-codon, and T loops). Further hydrogen bonds mediate the characteristic L-shaped molecular structure. tRNAs have two regions of fundamental functional importance: the anti-codon, which is responsible for specific mRNA codon recognition, and the 3' end, to which the tRNAs corresponding amino acid is attached (by aminoacyl-tRNA synthetases). tRNAs cope with the degeneracy of the genetic code in two manners: having more than one tRNA (with a specific anti-codon) for a particular amino acid; and 'wobble' base-pairing, i.e. permitting non-standard base-pairing at the 3rd anti-codon position.
Source: RNAcentral